GAGAGUUCAAUCGUUUGAACGAGAUCUCUUCCGCCUAUGAAUCACCGGAAACCCUAGACAAGCAGGACGAGAGCCACCGCUAUCCUCCUCUUCACCCUCGUUACCGUCGCCGGAGAGCUUCAUCUUCUUGAGAUCUCAUCCGCUACGACCCACAUGACCAAAUCUGACCCACGAAACACAUCAAACUUCAUAACCUCGAUCCAGUCACCACAACCCAAAA
This 220-nucleotide long non-coding RNA is filed under the name Brassica napus (rape). RNAcentral describes it as "long non-coding RNA (BNAP_LNC020975)". Lineage: Eukaryota; Viridiplantae; Streptophyta; Magnoliopsida; Brassicales; Brassicaceae. The record is from RNAcentral.